CUACGGGUCGCACCAGUGAGGAAUAUUGCGCAAUGGACGAAAGUCUGACGCAGCGACGCCGCGUGCGGGAUGAAGCUUUUAGGAGUGUAAACCGCUGUUAAUAGGGACGAACGGUCUUAUGUCGAACAGGCAUAAGGAUUGACGGUACCUAUAGAGGAAGCCCCGGCUAACUCCGUGCCAGCAGCCGCGGUAACACGGGGGGGGCAAGCGUUGUCCGGAAUUAUUGGGCGUAAAGGGCGCGUAGGCGGGCUGAUCAGUCAGAGGUGAAAGUUUGCGGCUUAACCGUAAAAUUGCCUUUGAUACUGUCAGUCUUGAAUUCGGGAGAGGAAAGUGGAAUUCCUGGUGUAGCGGUGAAAUGCGUAGAUAUCAGGAAGAACACCGGUGGCGAAGGCGGCUUUCUGGACCGAUAUUGACGCUGAGGCGCGAAAGCGUGGGUAGCGAACAGGAUUAGAUACCCUCGUAGUC
Molecule: ribosomal RNA, 465 nt
Filed under: uncultured bacterium
Lineage: Bacteria
Description: partial 16S ribosomal RNA
Rfam family: Bacterial small subunit ribosomal RNA
Source: RNAcentral